This 6982-nucleotide long non-coding RNA is filed under the name Canis lupus familiaris (dog). Its description in RNAcentral is "lncRNA (ENSCAFG00000054726.1)". The record is from RNAcentral. Lineage: Eukaryota; Metazoa; Chordata; Mammalia; Carnivora; Canidae.
UUUUUUAUUUAUUUAUGAUAGUCAUACAGAGAGAGAGAGAGAGAGGCAGAGACACAGGCAGAGGGAGAAGCAGGCUCCAUGCACCGGGAGCCCGACGUGGGAUUCGAUCCCGGGUCUCCAGGAUCGCGCCCUGGGCCAAGGCAGGCGCCAAACUGCUGCGCCACCCAGGGAUCCCCCCUCAUUGUAUUUCAAAAUAAAAAUGCAGCACAGAAAUACAUAGCAAAAAUGAGAAUGCAGACCUAUAUUUAGUCAUAUAUUAGUUCUGUAUUUUGUUGAGUGAAACACCAGGGUACCAAAUUUGAAAUGUUGUUCUGAUCUCAUGUUUGACAAAACAUGUAUUAUUAGUAAAAGCUACCAUUUAUUUAGCACCUGUUCUGUUUUGGGCACUGUGCUAAGUGAUUUACAUAUAUUGUCUUGUUUUAUCUGGACAUAAAUAAUAAUAUGUAUUUUAAUAAAUAAUACACCAUUUAUCCUCAUUUUAUAGAUGUGAAAACUGAGGCUUAGGUUAAGUAAGUUAUUCAAGGUCACAUGGCCAAAAUGUGAGAGAGCUGGGAAGCUGUUGAUUCCAACAGUACUAUGCAUAUUGAUCUACUGCUCCUAAAAGACAGAGGCCAAGAUAUAUAAAAAUGUUAGUAAUUGGGGUGUCUGGGUGGUUCAGUGGGUUAAGCAUCUGCCUUUGGCUCAGGUCAUGAUCUUAGGGUCCUGGCAUUGAGUCUGCAUCAGGCUCCUUGCUCAGCAGGGGGUCUGCUUCUCCCUCUCUCUCUCUGUCCCUCCCCCUGCUUGUGUGCUUGCUCUCUCUCUGUCUCUCUCAAACAAAUAAAUAAAAUCUUUCUAAAAAAUGGUAGUAAUUGUUAUCCAUGGGUGUGGAAUUUUUUUUUUCUUUUAGCUUAUUCGUAUUUUCUAAUUUUCUUCAGUGAGCUUAUUUGCAUCAUAAAUGAAGGGGGAGAAAGAAAUUGAACCAUAAACAACUUCCUCUUUGCCAAAACAAAAGGAGAUAGGGCAGAAAGGAAAGAAGGGAAGGUAAGAAGAAAGUAAGAUAAAAGAGAGGAAGAGAAAGGGGAGGGAAAGGAAGGUGGGAGAGGGAGUGAAGGAAGGAAGGAAAGAGGAGGGAUGAGAGGGAAGGAUGUCUUCCUAAGGUGGCUGUGAGGGGACGCGUGUCCACAGCUCUGUACCGCCUCAUUUUGGGUUGGGCCUGGCAUUGAAUGCAGUCCAGCAGAGAGGGCAGGAGCAGAGGAAACUGUCCUUCAGAACACAAGAGUUGGGCAGGGGACCCGCAGGCGUUUAGAACACCGUGGAAGGUGGAAGGUUGGGUAUUGCAGUAUGAAGUGAAUUGUAAUUGAUAUUGAGAUUCUAUCUUCUGAAAAGUGUAGUUGUAGCAGAAGACUACUAGCUCCCCAACACUCGCCCCGUUCAAGUGUCAAGGUGUAUCUUGGGCGCCGGCAGUGGAAAGGGACAGUGCGGAUUAGCAGCUGGAGUGGCAGUUAUGUGGGAGAACACAAACAACGUGAGGGCAGCAAUGGGACAUGGGAGGGUGACCAUACAAUUUACUUUCUCAAUUAAAAGUGUUCUUAUUAAUCAUUAGCUGGGACAGGGCACAUAAAUUAGACCUGUCCCUGACAAACUGGGAAGUUUGAUCAUCUUAGAGAGGCCAGAUAAAUCAGAAGAAUCCAGAAACUACAAAAACCAGAUAAAGGACAUGAAUAUGAAAAGCAAAGACAAACGUUUUUGCAAGGCCAGCCUCAUUAGUAACCAAAGAGAUUAAAAUUACAACAACAAGAAUGUUUCCUUUCACUUUUCAAAAUGGCAAAAAUCAUUUUAAAAAAUAACAGAGCUACUAUUUAUUGAACUCCUGUAUAUGCAGGUACUUUCUAUACCUUCUUCCUAAUUUAAUAAAGUUUUUUAUUUUAAAAUAAGUUUAUGUUUAUUGAAAAGUUGCAAGACUAUUACAGAGAGUUCUUAUAUACCCUAUAUACUCUGUUUCCUUUUACAUUACUGUGGAACAUUUGUCACAACUAAUGAACCCAUAACAUUAUUUUUAACUGAAGUCCAUACUUUAUUUGGGUUUCCUUAAUUUUUAUCUAAUGUUCUUUUCCCAUUCAUGCUGUCACAUUACAUUUAGUCGUCAUGUCUCCUUAGUGUCUCACACUUCAUUGUUUUUGAUGACCUUGACAAUUUUGAGUACUGAUCAGUAUUUUGUAGACUGUUCUUCAAUUUGGGUUUGUCUAAUGUUUUUCCUUAUGGUUAGCUAUGGGUUUUGUGAAGAAGACCACAGAAGUAAAGUACUAUUCUCAUCACCUCAUAUCCAGGAUACGUACUAUCAACAUGGCUCAUCACUGUUGAUGUCAGCUCUGGUCAGCUGGUAGUAUUGUCAGAUUUCUCCACUGUAAAUAACUCUUUUCCUCCCCUUCCCAUACUAUACUAUUUGGAAGGAAGUUACUAUGUAGCCCACACUGAAGGAGUGGGGAGUUAUGUUCCACCUCCUUGAGGGUGGUGUAUCUACAUAAUUCUUUCAAAUUCUGCACAGAGAGGUGUCUCUUCUUCCUCAUUUAAUUAUUUAUAUUAGCAUGGAUUUAUGGAUGUUUAUGUUAUACUUUGGGUUGUAAUCCAAUAUUAUGUCAUUUAUUUUGUCAGUCAAAUUGUCCUAACUUCCUUUCAGGUUGGCCCCUGUGAGUUCCCAGGCAGGCCCCCAGCAUUUGUUUUUUGAGCACUUCCCUACUUUCUGGGACUGUUAAAAUGCUCCAUGCCCAUCUUUUUUUUUUUUUUUCUUAAGAUGUUAUUUAUUUAUUCAUGAGAGACACACAGAGAGAGGCAGAGACACAGGCAGAGGGAGAAGCAGGCUCCCCAGAGGGAGCCUGAUGCAGAACUCGAUCCCAGGACCCUGGGAUCAUGCCCUGAGCCAAAGGCAGACACUCAACCACUGAGCUACCCAGGCAUCCCGCUCCAUGCCCAUCUUAUAUAUUUAAUGCCCCAGUCCCAGAAUUAGCCAUUUUCUCAAGAAGCUCUGGUUCCUUUUCCUAGAGAAUGGUUUUAGAUACCAAGAUCUGGGCCCUAGCUGUGCUUAUUGCUACUGGGUGUUGUUACUUCUAGGCACUCUUAGGGUAUAGUGCUGUGAACUAGUAUGUGUUUAUACUACCACACAUGUACCUGUAUAUCGAUAUUAUUUCUCUGUCUGUAUCCAUCUGUGUCUAUAUUAAGCUAAACAUGGGCUCAUACUUCUGGCUGAUUCUCAUCCAGUACUGCAUGGUUCAUUCUAGCUUCUCACUUUGCUUAGCUGAAACCUGUCGUUCCAACAGUGAGAGACUUCCACCACCCACCAUACAUUUCCUCAUGCUCAGUUUUGGUGAGAGUGCUAGAAAAUUGACACUGUUGGUGCUAUUGGUGUGAGUGUUGGUACAGCCUUUGUGGAAGGCACUUAGGUAGACUAUGUCAAAAACCUUAAAGGUAUCAGCUGGUCAAAGGUUGGAGCAUCAGUUUAGUCUCCAAGGCAGGGAAGGUAGGAGCAGAGUCCCCAGGUGAGAGGAGGGUAGCAGCACUGAGAGGCAGAACACAGACUCAAAUUAGCAGCCCUCAUUACCCCCUGCAGACGAUUGAGAGCCAACGUUUCCCAUCAACCCUCACCUGCAGACCUGUAGCUGAUGGUAAUAGGGAAGCAAAACAUUUGAUGGGUGAGUGCUGCAAAUUCAAUUCUUCAUUAGACAUGUUUUCUUGAUGUUUUUAAAAGGGAUUUGUUCAUGGUUUACCUCUGAGAACAGAUGACUGAUAAUCGUUGGGAAUCCAUUAUUAUUUGAAAUUUAAAAACCAAAGAUAUACUCCUAUUCAUGGAGAGUUUACAAUCUAAAUUGUGAGGUUUUUAUUUAUUUAUUUAUUUUAAGAGGGAGAGAGAGGGAAGGGUGGGACAGAGGGAGAGGGAAAGAGAGAAUCUUAAGCAGGCUCUAUGCCCAAUGCAGACCCCGACAUGGGGCUCGAUCUCACCACCCUGAGAUCAGGACCUGAGCAUUGGAUAUAAAGAGUUGGAUGCUUAACCAACUGAGCCACCCGGGCACCUUGAUAUUGUGAGAUUUAUGCCCGUAAAUGAUCAACCUGAAAAACAACUCAGGCAUUUUUUGUUAAAAACAAACAAACAAACAAAAUACCUGGGACAAACAGCCAAAUAUUCCACUCUGGUUACUGAGCCCUUCCAGGUGCCGUGUGUUGUCACAGCAUCUGCACUGGUCACCUCUGAAGCUGCUGCUUCCUCACAGUACACGUGUGGUAUGUGACACAAACAUAGGAGCUGGAGUAGAGAAUUCCAUAGACUUUUUUCAAAGUAUCAACUACAAAGGGACAGAAGUCUGUUGAAGUAAGAGAGAGAAGAGUACCUAAUUCCUAACAAGAAAUAAUAAUUGUAAACUAUCAUUGUUUAUCUGAGAAGGGAUUAGUGAGGAUUCACGUAUCAAAAUGAACUCCCCCAAGUUUCUCUCUGCUCUUAAUUUGAUAGGUAUGUUGCUAAGACUUUGAAGGAAUUGCUGUGAUAGUUCAAUUCUUUGGUGCUAGGGAGAAUCUGGGGGAGGAGAGGCCAUCCAGGUGAGCUGGAGGGAAGAGGAGGAAAGAGUAUUUACUACUUCUUCCAGGUGGUUUGGGGAAGAUAAGUCAAAUUUGGAGAAAACUAUAAAAAAAUUUAAUUAAGUUGUGGCUACAUCUGAAGAACAGGAUUUCCCUUCAAAGCAGGAAUUGUGGGAGAUGUUCAAGUUGGCUGGCUGUGUAUUCUAACAACAAUCAUACUAAUUGUAAUUAUUUGUAGGUUAUAAACAACUGAAAGGGCGUCUGAAAGCCAAGUUUUAGAUAAAGUAGAACAAUUGAGAGAGGAAAUAGAACUCUGAGGUGUAGAAGGCAUUCUGCAAAAUCCCCAGGUGUAGUCAAAGUGUCACCAUCCAGUCAUGGUUUGUGUUUGGAAGGAGAACAAUAGGGCAACAAAAGUCAAAAGAUAUUGAAUUGGCAUUUAAAAAAAUGAAGUGCAUUGUUUUCCAAAAAGUUCCCUUGUUUGCCUGUGUGUUGCAAAGAAGUUACCAUUCAUUCAUGAUUCUCUGCACGCCUCCAUACCUCCCAGAGAUUUGGUUAAAACCCCCAUCACUCCCUGGAUUCCCAUAUAACACUCUCCACUGAUGCCUGCACCAAGGUAUAUUACUAGGAGUGGUGUUGUGCAGGCUAACUGAAGUUGGGAAGCCCUCUGGCACAGACAAGGCUAAUCAUUUAAAGAAAAGGGCAAGCGGGGGCAGCCUGGGUGGCUCAGCGGUUUGGUGCCUGCCUUGGGCCCAGGGCGUGAUCCUGGAGUCCCAGGAUCGAGUCCCACGUCGGGCUCCCUGCAUGGAGCCUGCUUCUCCCUCUGCCUGUGUCUCUGCCUCUCUCUGUGUCUAUCAUAAAUAGAUAAAUUAAAAAAAAAAAAGAAAAGAAAAGGGCAAGGGGCUUGUUGUUGAGCCACGGGCAUCUUGAACAGUUAUUCUAGCUUAAACCUGUAUCAGUCAUGUAUGACAACAGGUGGGUGGUCCCUUUAUGGGUCCAUGUUACUGGAAAGAACUAAGGGAACUGUGAUGAUUUCAUCCUGCAGGGAAGGUGAAAUGGGCAUCUUAGAGAGCCUUGGACUAGUGUCUGAGAGGGUUGGUGAUUCUCUGUAGAGUUCAUCAGUGUCCUCCCAACCACGGCCCUUUGAACUAAGGCUUGGGUUGUCUGUACAAGGGAAAUGAGGCAAGCACAAGGAAAGAACAGCAGAAGUUAGGAGAUUUGAGAUAUAAGAUGACAAGCAUCAGCCUUGAUGGUGCUCAUUUUUGGUGAUGGGAAAUGGAACUCUAGACCCUAUAGCAGGGACCUCAAUAUUGAGGGUAGGAGACUAGUGGCCAUUGGUUGUUGAACUAUCACUUAUAUGCAAUGCACAAGACAUCAUCACACAGAACUAGAUCAGGGUAGGACAAAGAAGGACCAUGAUGUGCCAUGGUGUCAAGAAGAUUGGUUAUAGGGCACACAUAGAUCCUUGGGGCCACACAGACCUUGUUGGUAGUAAUGUAAAGGAGAGAGAGCCAGAGUUGCAUGGAUAAGGCUAGAGCCCAAUUGAUGCUCUUACUUGAUUAGAAAUUCCAUUUUUAUACCACCCUGACACUCUCCAUCCUGUAAUCAGCUGGUAAAAAGGAUGACUUGAGAAACAGAUUUCAUUCUUUUUAUUCUUUGAAAAGGGUAGAAGGGAGAGAGGAAAGCUCCUACAGCUUUAAAUGUCUUCAGCACUCGUGGCAAUCUUAUAUCACCUGGGAUGUAUUUUUUUGUCCUCCCUUCUAGAGUCGAAGUUCAUGGAGGGGACUAUAUUUUUAUCUUUAUAUCCUCCACAUGUGCUAAAACAGCAGAAACAAAGCACGUGCUCAGCAAGUGCUUGUGAAUGAAUGGAAGAUAUAUAACCUAAAGCAGGCACUGUGUUAGGUGCUUUAUUCAGGUUGAAUUUUAAUCUCUAGUGAAAUUGUUUUUGUACAGAAGGGGGGGAUACCUGGACAGCUUUUCAAAAUUUGCCCUUCACAACCACAGAGCUGGAGUUUAGAGACCCAUCAGCCUAGGACUGCACACAGUGUGAUCGGCGGAUCGAUCCUGGGAUGAUGUGGUCGGUCAUCGGUUUGUGGUAAGUACAGAGACGGAAAGUAUUUAGAACCUUUUAUGGUAUUUGACAUUGCAGAAACAUCUAGUCCUGUGAUCAUUUUUCUAGUACUUCAUAUUUGUGACAGUAUUACAAUAGUGGUUUACGAGGGAUUGGGAAUGAAAGAGACAAAAAGGUCUGUCUUCUUUCCCACCUCAAAGUACACAUUUAUAGUUUGGUUCUCCACCUUUUCAGAGAGGCAUCGUGGCAUAAAGACAGGCCCAUCAUGGCAUAAAGAAGGCUACCGAAGUGGGAAUCUGGUUCUUCUGUGUUCUAGAUGUUACUUAAUCUCUGUUUCUUGGUUUCCUCUGCUGUAAAAAUGGGUUACGAUGA